Molecule: long non-coding RNA, 203 nt
Organism: Vanessa atalanta (red admiral)
Lineage: Eukaryota; Metazoa; Arthropoda; Insecta; Lepidoptera; Nymphalidae
Exons: 3
Source: RefSeq, a predicted model, not a curated record
CUAUGCCCCCACCCAAGGAGCAACCUAAUCGAUCGACUCUACGAUUUGUGGGAUCGGACGCUUCGUACAAACUUAGCCAGUAUGAAAUGGAGGCGCUUAACGCGGUUAAAGCGACGACACCGAAACUGGAUCGUAACGGCUACUACUUCUACGUGACCUCUACAGCUAAGAAGAAAAAGAUCAGUUUGAUGCAGCCGAAGCCG